UACGGAGGGUGCGAGCGUUGUCCGGAAUCACUGGGCGUAAAGGGCGCGUAGGCGGCUCAUGAAGGCUGUGGUGAAAGUCCGGGGCUCAACCUCGGAUCGGCCGUGGCGACUCGUGGGCUGGAGCACUGUAGAGGCGGGUGGAAUUCCGGGUGUAGCGGUGGAAUGCGUAGAGAUCCGGAAGAACACCGGAGGCGAAGGCGGCUUGCUGGACCUGGUCUGACGCUGAGGCGCGAAAGCGUGGGGAGCGAACAGG
Molecule: ribosomal RNA, 253 nt
Filed under: uncultured bacterium
Lineage: Bacteria
Description: partial 16S ribosomal RNA
Rfam family: Bacterial small subunit ribosomal RNA
Source: RNAcentral